RNAcentral lists this ribosomal RNA (493 nucleotides) under uncultured bacterium. RNAcentral's name for it is "partial 16S ribosomal RNA". It matches the Rfam family "Bacterial small subunit ribosomal RNA", at positions 29 to 523 of the family's 1533-position model. The record is from RNAcentral.
AUUGAACGCUGGCGGCAUGCUUUACACAUGCAAGUCGAACGGUAACAGGUUAAGCUGACGAGUGGCGAACGGGUGAGUAAUGCAUCGGAACGUGCCCGAUCGUGGGGGAUAACGCAGCGAAAGCUGCGCUAAUACCGCAUACGAUCUGAGGAUGAAAGCGGGGGACCGUAAGGCCUCGCGCGAUCGGAGCGGCCGAUGUCAGAUUAGGUAGUUGGUGGGGUAAAGGCUCACCAAGCCAACGAUCUGUAGCUGGUCUGAGAGGACGACCAGCCACACUGGGACGGAGACACGGCCCAGACUCCUACGGGAGGCAGCAGUGGGGAAUUUUGGACAAUGGGCGAAAGCCUGAUCCAGCAAUGCCGCGUGCAGGAAGAAGGCCUUCGGGUUGUAAACUGCUUUUGUACGGAGCGAAAAGGCCCUCUCUAAUACAGGGGGUUUAUGACGGUACCGUAAGAAUAAGCACCGGCUAACUACGUGCCAGCAGCCGCCGUAA